UGGGGAAUAUUGGGCAAUGGGCGCAAGCCUGAUCCAGCCAUGCCGCGUGAGUGACGAAGGCCUUAGGGUUGUAAAGCUCUUUUGGCGGGGAAGAUAAUGACGGUACCCGCAGAAUAAGCUCCGGCUAACUUCGUGCCAGCAGCCGCGGUAAUACGAAGGGAGCUAGCGUUGUUCGGAAUCACUGGGCGUAAAGCGCACGUAGGCGGAUGUGUCAGUCAGGGGUGAAAUCCCGGAGCUCAACUUCGGAACUGCCCUUGAUACAGCACGUCUUGAGUCCGAUAGAGGUGGGUGGAAUUCCUAGUGUAGAGGUGAAAUUCGUAGAUAUUGGGAAGAACACCAGUGGCGAAGGCGGCUAACUGGUCCGGUACUGACGCUGAGGUGCGAAAGCGUGGGGAGCAAACAGGAUUAGAUACCCGCGUAGUCCCUGAGCGGGCUGGCAAGGCGCAU
Molecule: ribosomal RNA, 447 nt
Filed under: uncultured bacterium
Lineage: Bacteria
Description: bacterial SSU rRNA
Rfam family: Bacterial small subunit ribosomal RNA
Source: RNAcentral